AAAAAAUGUAGUUAAGCCUUUGGGCUGUUUUGUCCUGUCAGCUUUUAAAAAGCUUUGGUUUAGCUUUUAUUUUCUUUCUGUAUUUAGGUAAACACCCGGUGGUUUUCUAGAGCAUUCGGUCCCGGGAUGGUGCGGGAAAUGCAGGAUUUAAGCCUUCCAACCAACACUACUCAAAAUAAAGGCCCAUGUCGUCGCCACAUGUCUGGUGACCCGCGAAUCUCAGUGGCCGGAAGUCCCUUAAAAGCAGAGCUUGGGUUCGACCCGGUGACGGAGCAAGCCGGGAGGCGGGAAAGCCAGGUAACCGAGAGGAGGGAAAGUGCCGGGCUGGUGCGGAGCAGCACUGACGGCCACGCCGGGCCUCAGAGCCACGCUGAGUUCCUGCAAGGCCCGAGGCGCUGUUCUGGGAGAGCGGGACCCAUCGGAGGACUAGGAGGUGCUGUUCGGGGGUGCAGGCUCCGGGGGGCGGGGGGCAGUCCGGCAGGGGUGCUGGGAGGCCUCGGGAACCGGGGAGCUGGGGCGAGCAGGCUCUGGGACCGGAACUGCUCUGAAAAGCGUCCAGUUAAACCCAGCAAGGCCAAAGCCCACGGGGCGAGGUCGGGAGCCCGCGGGGCAGCGCGGAAAAGCCACGCGCACCGCACCGCGGGGAACGGGUUACAAACAACAGGAAAUGUUGAACCAUUUUCUUUCCAGUGUGAGGGAUUGAGCCCCGGGCAGCCCCAGCCCUUUAAACUGUUUGUAUCUGACACGUGGUGUCGCUGAGUGGCUCGCAACCCCCCGCCCCCGGUACUGGGAUAACAGACGUGCGCCACGACUGCCGGUUGGCAAGCAUUUUAUUUAACGUAAAAAAAAAUCCACCACAUAGAAGAGGCUUCAGGGACACAGCCACGCGCGCCCCCGCCCACCGCGCGGCCCCGCCCACCGCACUUUUUCGUUGUGGCCGGGCGGGGGCGCGCGGGCUUCGUCAGCCGGCGCGUUCCCAGAGGCCCCCGUGCGCGCAUGCGCUACGCGCAGUGCCUGGAAGCCGGGGCGGCCGGUGUCCGGCUGUCGCCGUCGUGGGUCAGGUACGACGCGGGAGAGGGGGUUGCCCAAGUCCUCAGCUUAGGAGCCCUGGCGGACGCCGCGGGACCGGCCGCACCCGGCGGGGACCCCCACACACGGGUGCCCGCUGUGGAUCCCGAGUCGCGCAGACCGCGAGGGGAGAUAUCUGCCAGCCAGCUUCUGUGCAAGACAUCUGCUGCUGUGUUUCAGUAGUGUGAGCCUCUUCCAGGUCAAGAAGUUAUUUAAAACUAUGAGUGUCCCUUGUUUUUUGCUCGAACUUGAUCAAGCAGUAUAGAAGUGCCUGGAGCUCAUCAAAUGGACCGGCUCGCGGGAGGUCCCAGGCCGACACUCCACUGGGUGUUCUGCGAUGAUUGAUAGCUUUGAACCUUGAGGUGGUGGAGACAGCGCGGCACAUGGGAGAAAGGUGAGGCUAUCAGGGUGCGCUUCCCAGCACCGUGUCCCUCCGAGUCUCUCGCUACUGGGGUUGUCCCCAGGGCAGGCGACACAGCAGCAAACUGAGGCGGACUCAGGGAAAGGAACAGCCCCUCUCCCAGCCUGAGUGAGCCCCCGAUCCACAGUCCAGGCCUGGCACCCGGCCAGAAGCGAGGCUUCUUUGCACCUGCCAUGCUCCGCACAUGGGCGCAGUGGCCGCCGAGAGAGAGUGUGCACUCGGACUCGGGGCUGUGGCUGCGCUGUACCUGUCAGACCUCGGGCGCCCCGUCACCGCCACAGCCAGUGCGUGCCUGGGUGUGCGCGCGCGCCUGCUCCAGACGCCGCCAUUCAGCCACCGUGGAGGGGAGUCCAUGCCACACACCUUCUCCGAAGCCACCCCUGCUUCAGACAAAAAAGCAUCGCCACGACCAGCUUGGUAUGGCAGGAUAAAGCUCUGUUUAACUGACAUUCUAGUCAACUUUGGAUGUGUUUUCCUUCCAAAUACACAGAGCAAAUACUCAAAUACGCACAAGUGACAAGUCCUGCUUCGCGUGAGCUCUGAGAUGAUGUGGGAUCUUUGUCCCUCGGAGCUGCGGUUUCCUCGUCUGUACCACGGAGCCUAAUGAGGACACGCAGAAGACACCCAGUGCAGUUCC
Long non-coding RNA from Heterocephalus glaber (naked mole-rat), 2126 nucleotides. NCBI's taxonomy places the organism in Eukaryota, Metazoa, Chordata, Mammalia, Rodentia, Bathyergidae. The record is from Ensembl.